GAUGAACGCUGGCGGCGUGCCUAAUACAUGCAAGUCGAGCGAACGGACGAGAAGCUUGCUUCUCUGAUGUUAGCGGCGGACGGGUGAGUAACACGUGGAUAACCUACCUAUAAGACUGGGAUAACUUCGGGAAACCGGAGCUAAUACCGGAUGAUAUUUUGAACCGCAUGGUUCAAAAGUGAAAGACGGUCUUGCGGUCACUUAUAGAUGGAUCCGCGCUGCAUUAGCUAGUUGGUAAGGUAGCGGCUUACCAAGGCAACGAUGCAUAGCCGACCUGAGAGGGUGAUAGGCCACACUGGAACUGGGACACGGUCCAGACUCCUACGGGAGGCAGCAGUAGGGAAUCUUCCGCAAUGGGCGAAAGCAUGACGGAGCAGCGCCGCGUGAGUGAUGAAGGUCUUCGGAUCGUAAAACUCUGUUAUUAGGGAAGAACAUAUGUGUAAGUAACUGUGCACAUCUUGACGGUACCUAAUCAGAAAGCCACGGCUAACUACGUG
This 497-nucleotide ribosomal RNA is filed under the name uncultured bacterium. RNAcentral describes it as "partial 16S ribosomal RNA". It matches the Rfam family "Bacterial small subunit ribosomal RNA", at positions 28 to 507 of the family's 1533-position model. The record is from RNAcentral.